GACGAACGCUGGCGGCGCGCUUAACACAUGCAAGUCGAACGGAAAGGCCUGCUUUCCCUUGUGGACUGCGGGUACUCGCGUGGCGAACGGGUGAGUAACACGUGAGUGAUCUGCCCCCAACUUGUGUAUAAGCCUGGGCAACUGGGUCUAAUUCCCGAUAGGACCGCAGGGUGGUGCCUGUGGUGGAAGACGAUUUUCUAGGGCUUGGGGCUGAGCGCGCGGCCUAUCAGCUUGUUGGUGGGGUAAUGGCCUACCAGGGCGGCGACGGGUAGCCGGCCUGGGAGAGUGGACGGCCACAUUGGGACGGAGAUACGGCCCAGACUCCUACGGGAGGCAGCAGUGGGGAAUAUGGCACAAUGGGCGGAAGCCUGAGGCAGCGACGCCGCGUGGGGGAUGACGGCCGUCGGGUUGUAAACUCCUUGCGGCCGCGAGGAAGCCACCUGGUUGGAAGGGUGGUGACGGUAGUGGUAGAAGAAGCACCGGCUAACUACGUG
Molecule: ribosomal RNA, 494 nt
Filed under: uncultured bacterium
Lineage: Bacteria
Description: partial 16S ribosomal RNA
Rfam family: Bacterial small subunit ribosomal RNA
Source: RNAcentral